UACGGAGGAUCCGGGCGUUAUCCGGAUUUAUUGGGUUUAAAGGGUGCGCAGGCGGGAGAUUAAGUCGGUGGUGAAAUUUUGCAGCUCAACUGUAAAAGUGCCUUCGAAACUGGUUUCCUUGAGUGUAGAUGAAGUAGGCGGAAUUUGUGGUGUAGCGGUGAAAUGCAUAGAUAUCACGAGGAACUCCGAUUGCGCAGGCAGCUUACUAAACUACUACUGACGCUCAGGCACGAAGGCGUGGGGAUCAAACAGGAUUAGAUACCCCUGUAGU
RNAcentral lists this ribosomal RNA (271 nucleotides) under uncultured prokaryote. RNAcentral describes it as "partial 16S ribosomal RNA". It matches the Rfam family "Bacterial small subunit ribosomal RNA", at positions 524 to 794 of the family's 1533-position model. The record is from RNAcentral.